This 521-nucleotide long non-coding RNA is filed under the name Homo sapiens (human). RNAcentral describes it as "non-protein coding GAS1RR:20". The record is from RNAcentral. Lineage: Eukaryota; Metazoa; Chordata; Mammalia; Primates; Hominidae.
CUCCCCUUUCCGUGGAGAGACUAUCAACUCCAUCUGUCACAAAAAUUAAGGCUAAAUCUCCUCUCCAGAAGCAGAGGGAGCCGGGGCUCCGACGCGCUCAGCGUCGGGCUGUCUGCCUCUCCCUAGAGGCCAAGUGAAUUUGAAAUGGCAAAAGUCACAGCCGGAGGCCCAGCACUAGGAGAUUCCUCCGGCUGCGGGAAAUCUUCCUGUACCUGCUGAAGCUGCUGCGUUCCUCAGAGGCGCUUGGUCUGCCGUGGGAAGCUGCACCUCUGCAGUCCCCAAAACCAAAAUCAAACCUUAAAAGAGCCAGACUGAGGCAGAGGUGCUGAGCAGCUAAUUGGAGGGGAUAGUAUGAGCCUCCAAAGAUUAGGGAAGAAAAUUGCAGUUGAAGAAAACUUGCUUUGGUUCAAUGCAAAAAUAAUGGGAUGAAUGGCAUGCUGAAAUAUCAUAUGACUUACGAAAAUGAUGAAUGGUAAGCAACCAGGUAGUAAGUCACCAGAAAUGCGCUGUCAUUCAUGGGA